UGGGGAAUAUUGCACAAUGGGCGCAAGCCUGAUGCAGCAACGCCGCGUGAGGGACGACGGCCUUCGGGUUGUAAACCUCUUUUGGCAGGGAAGAAGCGAAAGUGACGGUACCUGCAGAAAAAGCACCGGCUAACUACGUGCCAGCAGCCGCGGUGAUACGUAGGGUGCAAGCGUUGUCCGGAAUUAUUGGGCGUAAAGAGCUCGUAGGCGGUUUGUCGCGUCUGCUGUGAAAACCCGAGGCUCAACCUCGGGCCUGCAGUGGGUACGGGCAAACUAGAGUGCGGUAGGGGAGAUUGGAAUUCCUGGUGUAGCGGUGGAAUGCGCAGAUAUCAGGAGGAACACCGAUGGCGAAGGCAGAUCUCUGGGCCGUGACUGACGCUGAGGAGCGAAAGCAUGGGGAGCGAACA
This 407-nucleotide ribosomal RNA is filed under the name uncultured bacterium. RNAcentral's name for it is "bacterial SSU rRNA". It matches the Rfam family "Bacterial small subunit ribosomal RNA", at positions 355 to 774 of the family's 1533-position model. The record is from RNAcentral.